UUUGGAUUGUCUUACCAAAGACAUUAUCACUGGAAAAUAGACUUCAUUUUGUGGAAACUCCGAUUUUGUGGUAAGUAAAUAGACUUUAUUAAACCAUAAUUUUUGUAUCAUCUUUAUUUGACUUUUCAAGAGCUUGUAUUUUGCAAGGAACUUCACUUUGUAGUCGUUAUUUAUACAAGGUAAAUCAUGCUAAUCUUUUAGCCUUGUAGAGUUCUUAUAUAUACUGUUUUGCAUAUGUUUUCUUGGAGGCUCUCAUAUGCUUUUAUUGUUUGUCAGAGUCACCAUGCUUUUUGCAUAAUAUGCUGGAUAUGGUUUUGGCUCUUGGAGGGUGAGUUCAUGAUUGGAGAAGAAGGCUAAGUAUAUAUUCAAGCGAUGAAAGAAGUAGAUGCAUUGUAAGCCGGUAGCAAUUAUCAAUUACUUUUGAUUAUGUGGAUCAAUGUGACGACAAGCUGGAUGCUGGUUUUAGUACCUCAAUGUACUGAUCAUCUAUCAUGGGGGCAAAUACUAGUUGUGUCGUUAUUUUUUUGACUUUUAUAACUAUCUUUUCUACUCUCCGACAAUCGCAGGGAGGUAAAGGAAGCUCCUUUGCCCUCACUUCUCUCAUUGUGCACGGUGAACUUGUUGCUUCUGGAUUAAGUGAGCUUGAAUUUGGUGGAGACAUUAUGGGGAUUGAGUUAUAUGGUGAUCUUGAAUUGUUCUUGCUCCAUCACAGUGUUUUGCUUCUGUGAAAUUAACGUAGUUUUAUUUGCACAAAAUGUUCGCUGCUUUGCUUUAGUGAGCUUAAUGGAGAUUGGUUGUGCCUACUGCCUAGUGGUCAAUUUGGCUAAUUUCUCCCGGUCAUAUGAUUGAGGAAAGCUUGCGAUUUUGAUUUCAAAACUGAUUAGGAGCAAUGAACAAGCAAUAACGUUCAUUCAAACGUGUUUGAUUGGUGUGAGAAAUUCUUC
This 944-nucleotide long non-coding RNA is filed under the name Eucalyptus grandis. RNAcentral describes it as "long non-coding RNA (EGRA_LNC007908)". The record is from RNAcentral. Lineage: Eukaryota; Viridiplantae; Streptophyta; Magnoliopsida; Myrtales; Myrtaceae.